RNAcentral lists this ribosomal RNA (445 nucleotides) under uncultured bacterium. RNAcentral's name for it is "partial 16S ribosomal RNA". It matches the Rfam family "Bacterial small subunit ribosomal RNA", at positions 354 to 796 of the family's 1533-position model. The record is from RNAcentral.
GUGAGGAAUAUUGGUCAAUGGACGAGAGUCUGAACCAGCCAAGUCGCGUGAAGGAAGACGGUUCUAUGAAUUGUAAACUUCUUUUGUGCAGGAAUAAAGUGGGUUACGUGUAACCUUUUGUAUGUACUGUACGAAUAAGGAUCGGCUAACUCCGUGCCAGCAGCCGCGGUAAUACGGAGGAUCCGAGCGUUAUCCGGAUUUAUUGGGUUUAAAGGGUGCGUAGGUGGAUUGAUAAGUCAGCGGUGAAAGUUUGCAGCUUAACUGUAAAAUUGCCGUUGAAACGGUCGGUCUUGAGUGCAAAUGAGGUAGGCGGAAUGUGUUGUGUAGCGGUGAAAUGCUUAGAUAUAACACAGAACUCCGAUUGCGAAGGCAGCUUACUGGGAUGCAACUGACACUGAUGCACGAAAGCGUGGGUAUCAAACAGGAUUAGAAACCCGGGUAGUCC